UACGUAGGGUGCAAGCGUUGUCCGGAAUUAUUGGGCGUAAAGAGCUCGUAGGCGGUUUGUCGCGUCGGCUGUGAAAACCCGGGGCUCAACCCCGGGCCUGCAGUCGAUACGGGCAAACUAGAGUGCGGUAGGGGAGACUGGAAUUCCUGGUGUAGCGGUGAAAUGCGCAGAUAUCAGGAAGAACACCGGUGGCGAAGGCGGCUCUCUGGGCCUUACCUGACGCUGAGGAGCGAAAGCGUGGGUAGCGAACAGG
RNAcentral lists this ribosomal RNA (253 nucleotides) under uncultured bacterium. RNAcentral's name for it is "partial 16S ribosomal RNA". It matches the Rfam family "Bacterial small subunit ribosomal RNA", at positions 524 to 776 of the family's 1533-position model. The record is from RNAcentral.